GGAAUAUUGGACAAUGGACGCAAGUCUGACCCAGCGACGCCGCGUGGGUGAUGAAGGCCUUCGGGUCGUAAAGCCCUGUGGGCAGGGAAGAAAACGGUUGGUUCAAAUAGGGCCAAUCCUUGACGGUACCUGCUCAGAAAGCACCGGCUAACUCUGUGCCAGCAGCCGCGGUAAGACAGAGGGUGCAAACGUUGCCCGGAAUUACUGGGCGUAAAGCGCGUGUAGGCGGACCGUUGUGUCAGGCGUGAAAGCCCUGGGCUCAACCCAGGAACUGCACCUGAAACUGGCGGUCUUGAGUGGUGGAGAGGGAAGUGGAAUUCCUGGUGUAGAGGUGAAAUUCGUAGAUAUCAGGAGGAACACCAGUGGCGAAGGCGGCUUCCUGGACACCAACUGACGCUGAGACGCGAAAGCGUGGGGAGCAAAC
Molecule: ribosomal RNA, 424 nt
Filed under: uncultured bacterium
Lineage: Bacteria
Description: bacterial SSU rRNA
Rfam family: Bacterial small subunit ribosomal RNA
Source: RNAcentral